AAGCAAACACUCUGUGACAGAUUAUCAAAACAGUCUGUCACAAUUUGAGCUUGCUAUAGCAAGAAAGUCUAACCUAUUCCAGCACGCUCCUUUCUGUGAGACAAGCCGUUACAUAGACUGAAACAAG
Molecule: small nucleolar RNA, 127 nt
Filed under: Cavia porcellus (domestic guinea pig)
Lineage: Eukaryota; Metazoa; Chordata; Mammalia; Rodentia; Caviidae
Description: Small nucleolar RNA SNORA28
Rfam family: Small nucleolar RNA SNORA28
About the family: ACA28 is a member of the H/ACA class of snoRNA that guide the sites of modification of uridines to pseudouridines.
Source: Rfam by way of RNAcentral